Long non-coding RNA from Hippocampus zosterae (dwarf seahorse), 1365 nucleotides. RefSeq lists it as uncharacterized. The record is from RefSeq and is a predicted model, not a curated record. Lineage: Eukaryota; Metazoa; Chordata; Actinopteri; Syngnathiformes; Syngnathidae. The transcript has 2 exons.
GUGAGCUCUCGGGGCCGGCCCGCUGCUGCCGCCUGAAGACUUCCAGCGCUCUGUGGGCACCGGAAAAUCCGGAGAACAGCGACCAAGCCAAAAGCUUCCACUGGCCGUCAAAGCGAUUCAGCAACUGGCCGGCGUUCAUAUCCAGAUUGCAAGUUUUAAAACGAGAAACUGGCGAAUGCUCGCUCCGUUCGAUGGGAGACAGUAACACUGCCUCUUGGCGGACGGAGGAGGGAUGAUCUUUUAACAUCCAAAUAUCUGAGACCUGUGUGUGUGUGUAGAUCUUAAAAUGAUUUGACGUUUGUGUGAAAAAUGAAUGGGGGUGUCUAUGGAUCCACACAUGCACAUUUGACACGUCACACACAGAAUUGUACAAAUAAGUCAUAAGAUGGGGGGGGGGGUGCUGAUUAAUUUGUGGAUUCGACAGAUAUGACAAUUUUGGAUGCACCCGUGUUACCAAUUUUGACACAAAUCUCUCCCCAUACAUGAUGAACCACAAUGGUUUUGUGCGUCGAGUAAGAUCGGAACUUGUGAGGUCUUUCUGGAGUCAGAAACGUUUAGUAAUCUAGUGUUCCUCUCCAGAAUUUGGAAAACAUUGUCACUGUUGCACUCAAGCCAUACGUACACGCAUUUGAUUGUAGGACAUUAGUAUUGAUUGUGCAAAGCCUUGCGUCCUCGAUUCAAAGUCGUGCAUCAAUCUUUAUACAUCAUUGACGUACUAUUCAUUCAUGCACAUGUUAAUGUGUGUCACAAUGAAGUGCAUCUAUCACACAACAAAAUAUGUCCGACAUAUCAUGCUUGGCAACGACGCUAACGUUUGUGCCGUAAUGCUAACAUGAUGUCAUCAUUUAGUUGGCAAUUUGAUUUACGGUACUUACAUUUCUGGCCUCUCCAGCAGGUUUGAUUGUAGAUAUUGUGCCAGUUUUAAAGGGAUUCUCACCUGCCUGCAAAUCAACUUUUUUGUUUUGUUUGCUGAUAAGACGAAUAAAUGGGGUGAGUACUAAGGCUUUCUUCAGGUCUUGGUCAUUAUUUUGAUAUUUUAGUGAAUGUUUGUUGGGGCAAAAACUGUCUGACUGGCCGCCAUCCUCAGGUGAAUUUAGCUUUCCGUUUUCUGGAUUUGACUUGCAGGGACUCCUCACGUCACUUCCAGAAUCUUGACCCAAUUGCUCUGCCACUGUGCGCUCAGCCUCAUACGCGACUCCAUCGCCGAGUUGGAAUAGUAGCAUUUGUAAAUAUUUUUAGAUCAAUUUUCAGGUUUGUGAUGCAUUAGCAUAGUAUUUGGUUAAUGUAUUUGGCACGUUUUAUGUUCAAACUGAUAAACAUUGUUUUUAGCAAAUAAUCAUGAAACUUAAAGCUGGGACAGGUGCC